GUAGGGUCCGAGCGUUGUCCGGAAUUAUUGGGCGUAAAGAGCUCGUAGGCGGUUUGUCGCGUCUGCUGUGAAAUCCCGAGGCUCAACCUCGGGUCUGCAGUGGGUACGGGCAGACUGGAGUGCGGUAGGGGAGAAUGGAAUUCCUGGUGUAGCGGUGGAAUGCGCAGAUAUCAGGAGGAACACCGAUGGCGAAGGCAGUUCUCUGGGCCGUAACUGACGCUGAGGAGCGAAAGCGUGGGGAGCGAACAGGAUUAGAUACCCUGGUAGUCCACGCCGUAAACGUUGGGCGCUAGAUGUGGGGACCUUUCCACGGUUUCCGUGUCGUAGCUAACGCAUUAAGCGCCCCGCCUGGGGAGUACGGCCGCAAGGCUAAA
RNAcentral lists this ribosomal RNA (374 nucleotides) under uncultured bacterium. Its description in RNAcentral is "bacterial SSU rRNA". It matches the Rfam family "Bacterial small subunit ribosomal RNA", at positions 527 to 898 of the family's 1533-position model. The record is from RNAcentral.